GGGUUUACCCAUUGGUCAGGCUUAAUUGUCUGUACUGGUGAGAUAAAUCUCUACCUUCUGAGGAACUUUCAUGUCAUUAAUUUGGUGUGAUUGGAAAUCAGGACUGUUACUUUGAAAAAUUAGAGUGUUUAAAGCAGGCUAACGUCUGAAUACAUUAGCAUGGAAUAAUGAAAUAGGACGGAUUGAUUCUAUUUCGUUGGUUUCUAGGAUCACCGUAAUG
This 220-nucleotide ribosomal RNA is filed under the name uncultured fungus. RNAcentral describes it as "partial 18S ribosomal RNA". The stretch from base 44 to 220 matches the Rfam family "Eukaryotic small subunit ribosomal RNA", at positions 689 to 867 of the family's 1831-position model. Lineage: Eukaryota; Fungi. The record is from RNAcentral.